AUUGAACGCUGGCGGCAGGCUUAACACAUGCAAGUCGAGCGGAGAUGAGGUGCUUGCACCUUAUCUUAGCGGCGGACGGGUGAGUAAUGCUUAGGAAUCUGCCUAUUAGUGGGGGACAACAUUCCGAAAGGAAUGCUAAUACCGCAUACGUCCUACGGGAGAAAGCAGGGGAUCUUCGGACCUUGCGCUAAUAGAUGAGCCUAAGUCGGAUUAGCUAGUUGGUGGGGUAAAGGCCUACCAAGGCGACGAUCUGUAGCGGGUCUGAGAGGAUGAUCCGCCACACUGGGACUGAGACACGGCCCAGACUCCCACGGGAGGCAGCAGUGGGGAAUAUUGGACAAUGGGGGGAACCCUGAUCCAGCCAUGCCGCGUGUGUGAAGAAGGCCUUAUGGUUGUAAAGCACUUUAAGCGAGGAGGAGGCUACUGAGACUAAUACUCUUGGAUAGUGGACGUUAUUCGCAGAAUAAGCACCGGCUAACUCUGUGCCAGCCGCCGCCGUAA
This 501-nucleotide ribosomal RNA is filed under the name uncultured bacterium. RNAcentral's name for it is "partial 16S ribosomal RNA". It matches the Rfam family "Bacterial small subunit ribosomal RNA", at positions 30 to 523 of the family's 1533-position model. The record is from RNAcentral.